Molecule: ribosomal RNA, 414 nt
Filed under: bacterium 14S313
Lineage: Bacteria
Description: bacterial SSU rRNA
Rfam family: Bacterial small subunit ribosomal RNA
Source: RNAcentral
GGCCGCCGUCAGCUCGUGUCGUGAGAUGUUGGGUUAAGUCCCGCAACGAGCGCAACCCUUUUCCUUAUUUGCCAGCGGGUUAAGCCGGGAACUUUAAGGAUACUGCCAGUGACAAACUGGAGGAAGGCGGGGACGACGUCAAGUCAUCAUGGCCCUUACGACCAGGGCUACACACGUGCUACAAUGGUCGGUACAAAGGGUUGCUACCUAGCGAUAGGAUGCUAAUCUCAAAAAGCCGAUCGUAGUCCGGAUUGGAGUCUGCAACUCGACUCCAUGAAGUCGGAAUCCUAGUAAUCGCGGAUCAGAAUGCCGCGGUGAAUACGUUCCCGGGCCUUGUACACACCGCCCGUCACACCAUGGGAGUUUGUUGCACCAGAAGUAGGUAGUCUAACCGCAAGGAGGACGCUUACUCUU